GCACUCCAUGUUUCAUUGCUGUCAAUGCUGCUCACCUGCCUUUCACAAUCGUAGCGCAUCAGGGAUGAGGCUCUGCCACAGCCACGCUCCCAAUUACCACAAACUAUGUACCUCCAACCAUGAGCCACUCACAGCAAGCUCCUGGAGCCAGGACCUGUGGCCACUGAAGUGGGAGAGAGCUUUGCCGGAGACUUCAGUUGUGCAAGCUAUGUCCUCAAGUGAAUGCAAGUACACAUAAGGAGUCUUACAGCUCAUGCAAAUAGGGAGCUGCCUUUCCUGUAGAGAAGCAGUGGCUAAUUUGCCUCCAGGACAAGGAAAGCCUAGAGCCAGUAUCUCACACCCACCUUGCUGUCACAGCAAUGCCAUGUUUCUUGCUCCACAUGCCUCCCACACGAACGAUCUCACAAAGACCCCUGUGCCGAUGCAGCUUCUGUAUCAAAGCUGUGUUACCUACAAGCACUAGGAAUGUCUCUGCAAGGCACUGUGCUCUGCAGGUCUGCUACAAAUCUAAUGGAAAGAGGGAGAGCAGGGGGUGGGGAUGAUGCAGAGGAAGAACAAAGGAGCUGGAGCCUUUCCACCCUCUCUGCCAUCAGCACCAUCCUCCUCCUCAUGCUCACUGUGGACUGCACUGCAGCCUGUGCCCAUGCUGCAGUCACCAGCACAGCAGCUAGGGCUGGACCCGGGCUAUUGAAGCCUUGCUCACAGUCAUCAGCUUCCCUUCACAGCAACCACUCAUGAUGAACUGUCCCCACACCUCACACAAGUUUUAAGGGAAAAUUGUAAAGUCUAGAGACAGUUGAAGUAGUCCUGUGUGUGGUUGGGUUCUUCUGAUUUACCAAAUCAGCUUUGUUGGAGCCAACUCCAGCCACAUACAGCAGCUCCAUCGCAGAGGCAGUGUAGAAGGAACAUCUCCUAGACCUUCCCAGCCGCAGGAGCAGGAGGGCACUGAGUCUGGGUGGCACUCCUGACACGGCAGGCAGCCAUCUCUGUGCUUCCCGAGUGACACAACAGCCGUAUCCCUCCUGGGUGCAGCAGAAACGCUCUCUAACUUCCCUCUGAGCAUUUUAGAUGACGCUGUUUAGCAGCAACGUGAAUUCAGACCAUACUCCCGAUCCGAGGGAGUGAAGCACGCUGGAGGUGGCCCUCGGGGGCUUUUCUGAGCCGUAACAUCCAGCGAGUGAGCUCGAAAUGACGGAACCACGCAUCUCCUCCAGGGAGGACGGUCAAAGAAAUUCCGCGAAGCUGCUAGUCACUCUGCCUGUCUUCUUCUGCUUCGCAGUCUGAGAUGGAUGGUGUCUCCCAGCAAAGAAGACUGAGGGAGGGUGAGGGGCUGGGGCGGCUCUGGGGGCCGCAGCAUCCUCGAAGGGCGCUGACGGAGCGCGGCCGCCAGGGGGCGGCGCAGCCCCGCGGGACCGGCCCGGCCCAGCCCCGCCGUGUCCCCGCCCUCUGCUCCCUUCCCUUCCCUCUGCUCCCUUCCCUUCCCUCUGUUCCCCACCAUUUGCUCCCCGCCGCUGUACCAGCGCGCCCGUGACACGCUCCCGCCGGUAUCCUGACGAGCCAUGGUCACGGCACCCCCGCCUUGCUCCCGCGCUGGAAACGCCGGAGGUGGCGGGGAAGGAUCCUGCUGAUCUGGGGAGCGCUCAGCGGUGCUGGGUCCAGGUGAGUUUUCCAGGCAGUGUGCAGUGCCGACCCCAGCCAAGGAGGAUGGGACUCACGGAGAAAAUCUUAAGGCUCACUGAUCUAGAGAAGGCAAGAGAAGACGUGACAAUGUUUAAACAGGUGAAGGCUGCUACAAAGGGAAAGUUGUCCUCCAGUCCCACAGAGCAUCAGCUACUGGGCUUGGAUACGGGCAAACACCAGUUUAGGUCAGAUGCUUGAACAACGUUUCUAAUGCUCAAGGUUUUCUGUUUUGGGUGGUAGUGGUGAUUUUUUCUUUAUUACAAGUUCUUUAAAACCUGUUGUGACCUGGACAGACAUAUGGAAACAGCCCGGAACCUUCCCUGGCAAUCUGCUCAGGAGCUGAUUCAAAUGUUGCACUGGGUCUCUAUUUGCUACAAACUAGAAAUCACUGAAGACAUUCGAGCUCUUCUGGCUGAUGUCAUCAUUACUCCUUUCAAUUCUUCAGAAGCCUUAUGUAAAAAUAACUUGUUAAGAAAGAGAAAGAACAGGGCAGAGUGGAUGGAAGAUGAAGGCAGAAGGGAGGGAAGAAAAGAAGGAAAGACAGGAAGGAAGGGCAGGCAGAAGUGCACUUAACUUCCCCUCCUCGUUCUUAGUCCUGGAAAUUCCAAAAAUCCCUGGAAAUUCUUAUGCAUUAAAAGAGUGUCAUGUUCAUAAGGAGCCUUUCUGGCUCCUUACACAACAAACUUACUUUAGAUAUACUGUGCUGUGGCUGGUAACCAUUCCAUGAGGAUCAGUUACAGUAUAAAAAAGAAGUGCAUUUGAGUAGAGUUGAAUGAAGAAAUCCAGGAACCUCUACCAUGCCCUCUCUUCACUACUGGCAUUUGCCAUUGAUCUCAAAACAAUCCCACGUCAACAGCAUCAUUUAAAGAAGAUAUUCAAUUUAUUAAAUGUUAAGAACAUGAUUUACAUGUCACAUUAGGCUUCUCAGAAGACACCAGUGACUCAUCUUGCAAUUGCUAAUUAAUGGAGUAUUCAAUUACCACAACUCUCUCAUUCAUUACUCAGAGCAGAACACAAUUUACAGUCACUCAGGCUCUUGCAGAGACACCGCAGUUGUCAGAGGAAUCCCUGGCACAAUCCUGGCACAAGGGAACCUCUCAGACCUCCUGCUGGCAGAGGUCCUUGCUUUUGAUAAACUUCCUCCCAUUUCAGCCCUCCCUCUCCACUUUCAGAAGUGUUGUGCACCACAAACAAAGCUGAAAGGGCACAGGCAGAAUCUCCAGCCACAUUAUUUUGUGUCAGUAGAGAUCUGCAUCUUACUUUAGUCCUUGUAAAGGCAUGUUCAGCCAGCACAGCUCUUGCUGAGCCAGCAAAGGAAACACUGCCUGAAGUAAGUAUACACAAAAGUGCCGACACUGUUGACAUAAUCAGGGUGCAGCAUCACAAGCUAAAAUAAAAUCAGGCCAGCAAAGGUUCACACUAUUCCCAAAAGCACAGGGCUUGUCAAUCAGAUCAGAUCAGGUGAGGUAUUUCCUGCAGGCUAAGGCAGUGCUCCCAUGCUCUAACCAAAAAAUCAUUGAGCUUUUGCAUCUGGGAAGCUUGGGGAGAGGUCUGUAAUCUGUCAAGGGGUUCACAGAGUUUGAACAAAACACCAUUGGUGGAGUCGUAGGAGGAGCUGCAGUCACAAAAAUACUGAGCUGUCACUCAGUAUCAGUAUCAGCUUGAACCAAACACAUGACACUGCAAAUAGCUGGGGCUUGAGUCUAAGCCUGGCACACACUGAUAGCUGAGCAAAUCUGAGGAUAAAAUCUGUGAUCAGCUGUGUAAGGGACCCUACUGCAACUUGAUAUUCAGGCUGCUGAGCAUAAGGGCCUCUCAUGCUGCUUAGCCAAUGUUCACAGGGCUUUACCUGCUACAGGACAGCCCUAGGGAGGAUCUGGCACCACAGAAAGCCUGUGGCUGGGCAAGGCUGAUGACUGGAAAAGGUGGGAUUAGAAGCAGACUCAGAAGCAAGGAGCUGUGGUCAGGGGGAGCAGCUGCGUCUAGGGCUAAUGUCCUUGGAUGCCAAUAAAGCCAUCGGGCAUGCUCCUCAAAAGCAUCAAUCAACUUGUCCUGAUCUAGCAGAGUGUCCCAUCUUUCUUGGUGGCCUUCACUUAUCAGUUGUGGAGGGAAAAAA
Molecule: long non-coding RNA, 3796 nt
Organism: Zonotrichia leucophrys gambelii
Lineage: Eukaryota; Metazoa; Chordata; Aves; Passeriformes; Passerellidae
Exons: 3
Source: RefSeq, a predicted model, not a curated record